GAUGAAGAACGUAGUGAAAUGCGAUAAGUAAUGUGAAUUGCAGAAUUCAGUGAAUCAUCGAAUCUUUGAACGCACAUUGCGCCCGCCAGUAUUCUGGCGGGCAUGCCUGUCUGAGCGUCAUUUCAACCCUCAAGCAACUUCUGCUUGGUGUUGGGGAUCGGCCGUUAAACGCCGCCCCCGAAAUCUAUUGGCGAUCUCGCUGUAGCUUCCUAUGCGUAGUAGUAACAUCUCGCAUCUGGAGAGCGGCGCGGUCAUGCCGUAAAACACCCAACUUCUCAGGUUGACCUCAGAUCAGGUAGGAAUACCCGCUGAACUUAAGCAUAUCAAUAAGCGGAGGA
Molecule: unclassified non-coding RNA, 338 nt
Filed under: soil metagenome
Description: partial contains 5.8S ribosomal RNA, internal transcribed spacer 2, and large subunit ribosomal RNA
Rfam family: 5.8S ribosomal RNA (bases 1-120)
Source: RNAcentral